Long non-coding RNA from Phyllostomus discolor (pale spear-nosed bat), 161 nucleotides. RefSeq lists it as uncharacterized. Lineage: Eukaryota; Metazoa; Chordata; Mammalia; Chiroptera; Phyllostomidae. The transcript is spliced from 4 exons. The record is from RefSeq and is a predicted model, not a curated record.
GUGUCAAACUCAUCUUCACUGGGGGCCACGUCAGCCUCACAGUUGCCUUCAAAGGGUCGAAUGCAAUUUUAGGGCUGUAAAUAUAACUACUCCCUAACUAGGGGCAAGGAGCUUGGCGCUGCCGCCGGGUAGAAACAAGAUCCUGGACUGGAUUCAUCCCA